ACACGACCGUACCGCAAACCGACACUGGUGCGCGAGAUGAGUAUUCUAAGGCGCUUGAGAGAACUCAGGAGAAGGAACUCGGCAAAUUGACACCGUAACUUCGGAAGAAGGUGUGCCUUUAGUAGGUGAAGUCCCUCGCGGAUGGAGCCCAAUGAGGUUGCAAAGAAUCGGUGGCUGCGACUGUUUAUUAAAAACACAGCACUCUGCAAACACGAAAGUGGACGUAUAGGGUGUGACGCCUGCCCGGUGCUGGAAGAUUAAAUGAUGGGGUGCAAGCUCUUGAUUGAAGUCCCAGUAAACGGCGGCCGUAACAAUAACGGUCCUAAGGUAGCGAAAUUCCUUGUCGGGUAAGUUCCGACCUGCACGAAUGGCGUAACGAUGGCCACACUGUCUCCUCCUGAGACUCAGCGAAGUUGAAAUGUUUGUGAUGAUGCAAUCUCCCCGCGGAAAGACGGAAAGACCCCAUGAACCUUUACUGUAGCUUUGUAUUGGACUUUGAACAGAUCUGUGUAGGAUAGGUGGGAGGCUUUGAAGCAGGGUCGCUAGAUCUUGUGGAGCCAACGUUGAAAUACCACCCUGGUGUGUUUGAGGUUCUAACCUAGGCCCGUAAUCCGGGUUGGGGACAGUGCAUGGUAGGCAGUUUGACUGGGGCGGUCUCCUCCCAAAGUGUAACGGAGGAGUUCGAAGGUACGCUAGUUACGGUCGGACAUCGUGACGAUAGUGCAAUGGCAUAAGCGUGCUUAACUGCGAGACUGACAAGUCGAGCAGAUGCGAAAGCAGGACAUAGUGAUCCGGUGGUUCUGUAUGGAAGGGCCAUCGCUCAACGGAUAAAAGGUACUCUGGGGAUAACAGGCUGAUACCGCCCAAGAGUUCAUAUCGACGGCGGUGUUUGGCACCUCGAUGUCGGCUCAUCUCAUCCUGGGGCUGUAGCCGGUCCCAAGGGUAUGGCUGUUCGCCAUUUAAAGAGGUACGUGAGCUGGGUUUAAAACGUCGUGAGACAGUUUGGUCCCUAUCUUCCGUGGGCGCUGCAGAUUUGAGGAAGCCUGCUCCUAGUACGAGAGGACCGGAGUGGACGCACCUCUGGUGUAUCGGUUGUCACGCCAGUGGCAUUGCCGAGUAGCUAUGUGCGGAAGAGAUAACCGCUGAAAGCAUCUAAGCGGGAAACUCGUUUCAAGAUGAGAUCUGCCGGGGCCUUGAGCCCCCUGAAGAGUCGUUCAAGACCAGGACGUUGAUAGGUCGGGUGUGGAAGCGCAGUAAUGCGUUAAGCUAACCGAUACUAAUUGCUCGUGCGGCUUGACCCA
Molecule: ribosomal RNA, 1301 nt
Filed under: metagenome
Description: bacterial LSU rRNA
Rfam family: Bacterial large subunit ribosomal RNA
Source: RNAcentral